CUAUAAAUAUUCUUGCAGGUCUAAUUUUGUAAUAAUCAGGGCAAGCUAAACAUUCACUAUGUUAAGAACAGACCUAAUUUCUUUCCUUAGGUCUGAUUUUAUAAAUGCUGGUGAUAAAC
Mustela putorius furo (domestic ferret) is the source of this 119-nucleotide small nucleolar RNA. Its record names the gene SNORA72. It matches the Rfam family "Small nucleolar RNA SNORA72". From Rfam's summary of the family: U72 is a member of the H/ACA class of snoRNAs. The snoRNA gene is located in intron 4 of the ribosomal L30 protein gene in human, mouse and chicken. The record is from Ensembl. Lineage: Eukaryota; Metazoa; Chordata; Mammalia; Carnivora; Mustelidae.